GUUCCCAAUUAAUCAAUGUUUAUAAAGUUUGAAAAUUGAAAAAAAAAAUCUAAAAAUAGAUCUACUAUUGAUUACGUCACAAUUUGUAUUUUCAACAUGGCGGACUGUUGACAUAUUUUGAGAAAAUUUAGAAAACAUUAUGUAAACUCUACUUUGACCGACACUUGUUGUUGUUUUUACUGACAGAUUAUUGUUGCUGUGUUGGUCCCUUACAAGUUUCCACAUUCAGCAAUGGGUGGUGAAACUUCCCCCAGGGACGACAGCAGUGACACCCAACUGCACCAUGCAUUUAAGAAGUUAAAAGUGGAUCCAGAAUGGAAUCCAAGUGUUAUAAAAGGAAAUGUUGAAAAUCUGAGAGAUUUGUGGAUAAGGUAACAAAA
Long non-coding RNA from Ruditapes philippinarum (Manila clam), 380 nucleotides. RefSeq lists it as uncharacterized. The transcript is spliced from 3 exons. The record is from RefSeq and is a predicted model, not a curated record. Lineage: Eukaryota; Metazoa; Mollusca; Bivalvia; Venerida; Veneridae.